UGUGGCUAGUCCCGUACUGUGACAAUGGG
This 29-nucleotide non-coding RNA is filed under the name Mus musculus (house mouse). The record is from RNAcentral. Lineage: Eukaryota; Metazoa; Chordata; Mammalia; Rodentia; Muridae.